This is a non-coding RNA of Trabulsiella guamensis ATCC 49490, 65 nucleotides long. The record is from Rfam. NCBI's taxonomy places the organism in Bacteria, Pseudomonadati, Pseudomonadota, Gammaproteobacteria, Enterobacterales, Enterobacteriaceae.
CCCAGGGAGCGCCCAAACCAAAAAAGAGUGAACCGGCAGCCGCACCCCGCGCGCGGCCGGUGAAU